ACCUACCACAUUCCUGACCCCUCAGAUCUAAACAUGGUCUGAGUGGCUGAAAAAGGAGGAAAAGUAAAACUGGAGAGGACUGGGAGUCUUUAGGGAUCUGGAGUUCAUUUCCACCACAC
RNAcentral lists this small nucleolar RNA (119 nucleotides) under Echinops telfairi (small Madagascar hedgehog). RNAcentral describes it as "Small nucleolar RNA SNORA61 (ENSETEG00000026551.1)". The record is from RNAcentral. Lineage: Eukaryota; Metazoa; Chordata; Mammalia; Afrosoricida; Tenrecidae.